GCCUGAGUGGCUGAAUUGGUUAAGCAUCUGACUUUGGCUCAGGUCAUGAUCUCAUGGCUCAUGAAUUUGAGUCCCGUGUCAGGCU
Molecule: transfer RNA, 85 nt
Filed under: Felis catus (domestic cat)
Lineage: Eukaryota; Metazoa; Chordata; Mammalia; Carnivora; Felidae
Rfam family: tRNA
About the family: Transfer RNA (tRNA) molecules are approximately 80 nucleotides in length.
Source: Rfam by way of RNAcentral